Molecule: ribosomal RNA, 163 nt
Filed under: uncultured Saccharomycodes
Lineage: Eukaryota; Fungi; Ascomycota; Saccharomycetes; Saccharomycodales; Saccharomycodaceae
Description: partial 26S ribosomal RNA
Rfam family: Eukaryotic large subunit ribosomal RNA
Source: RNAcentral
AAACCAACCGGGAUCGCCUUAGUAAGGGGGAGUGAAGCGGCAAAAGCUCAAAUUUGAAAUCUGGUACUUUAGGUUCCCGAGUUGUAAUUAGUAGAAUUUAUUUUGGGGGUGUUCCUGUUUAAUUUCCCUGGAAACAGGACGUCAUAGGGGGGGAGAACCCCGU